AUUGAUCUUGUGAGGAGGCGUACAACGUCUUGGUGGCGUCUGGACAUGAUGACCAACACUGUGAGCUUCGCCCGAAAGGAAGAAGCAGUGAAGAGGUUCUCGUCUUCCUCGGGAUUUCCUGAUGAA
Molecule: non-coding RNA, 126 nt
Filed under: Karenia brevis
Lineage: Eukaryota; Dinophyceae; Gymnodiniales; Kareniaceae
Source: RNAcentral